UUUUUUUUCCGGAGAAAAUUUAAAAUGAAGGAAAUUAAUGUUCUGGAAUAUGUAAAGUUUCUUUUUUGGAUGACAGAUUUAAAUAAAAUAAGAAUAUAAAAACAACUGUUUUUGUAUUACUGUCGUCGUUUUUCGUCGUCUUAAGUAAGACUAAGACGACGUAAUAUAUUUGUUGAGCGACGUUGAUUUGUUUUUUAAACGUCGUUAGGUAUAAUAUAACCGUCG
RNAcentral lists this long non-coding RNA (225 nucleotides) under Prunus persica (peach). Its description in RNAcentral is "long non-coding RNA (PPER_LNC001120)". The record is from RNAcentral. Lineage: Eukaryota; Viridiplantae; Streptophyta; Magnoliopsida; Rosales; Rosaceae.